RNAcentral lists this non-coding RNA (26 nucleotides) under Rattus norvegicus (Norway rat). Lineage: Eukaryota; Metazoa; Chordata; Mammalia; Rodentia; Muridae. The record is from RNAcentral.
UGCCUGCAAAAAUAUGCUUGUUGCCA